GCAAGUCGAGCGAGAAGAUUAUGAUUAAGCCUUCGGGUGAGAGAUUAAUUGGAAAGCGGCGGACGGGUGAGUAACGCGUGAGUAACCUGCCCAAUACAAAGGGAUAGCCAUUGGAAACGAUGAUUAAUACCUGAUAACACAUAGACAUCACAUGUUGUUUAUGUCAAAGAUUUAUCGGUAUUGGAUGGACUCGCGUCUGAUUAGCUAGUUGGUGAGGUAACGGAGCACCAAGGCGACGAUCAGUAGCCGAUCUGAGAGGGUGAUC
RNAcentral lists this ribosomal RNA (265 nucleotides) under uncultured bacterium. Its description in RNAcentral is "partial 16S ribosomal RNA". It matches the Rfam family "Bacterial small subunit ribosomal RNA", at positions 57 to 305 of the family's 1533-position model. The record is from RNAcentral.